RNAcentral lists this ribosomal RNA (246 nucleotides) under uncultured bacterium. RNAcentral describes it as "partial 16S ribosomal RNA". It matches the Rfam family "Bacterial small subunit ribosomal RNA", at positions 524 to 767 of the family's 1533-position model. The record is from RNAcentral.
UACGAAGGUGGCAAGCGUUGUUCGGAUUUACUGGGCGUAAAGGGAGCGUAGGUGGUGGGGUAAGCCCCGCGGGAAAGCUCCAGGCUUAACCUGGAAAGGUCGCGGGGGACUGCUCCGCUCGAGGACGGGAGAGGAGCGCGGAAUUCCCGGUGUAGCGGUGAAAUGCGUAGAAGACUCGGGAGGAAGGCCGGUGGCGAAGGCGGCGCUCUGGAACGGCCCUGACACUGAGGCUCGAAAGCGUGGGAG